UACGGGGGGUGCAAACGUUGCUCGGAAUUAUUGGGCGUAAAGCGCACGUAGGCGGUCCUGUAAGUCGGGUGUGAAAGCCCCAGGCUUAACCUGGGAAGUGCACUCGAAACUGUAGGGCUUGAGUAUGGAAGAGGGUCUCGGAAUUCCCGGUGUAGAGGUGAAAUUCGUAGAUAUCGGGAGGAACACCAGUGGCGAAGGCGGCUCGCUGGACCGGUCCUGACGCUCAGGCGCGAAAGCGUGGGGAGCGAUCCGG
Molecule: ribosomal RNA, 253 nt
Filed under: uncultured bacterium
Lineage: Bacteria
Description: partial 16S ribosomal RNA
Rfam family: Bacterial small subunit ribosomal RNA
Source: RNAcentral